RNAcentral lists this transfer RNA (92 nucleotides) under Cryphonectria parasitica EP155. It matches the Rfam family "tRNA". Rfam says of the family: Transfer RNA (tRNA) molecules are approximately 80 nucleotides in length. Their secondary structure includes four short double-helical elements and three loops (D, anti-codon, and T loops). Lineage: Eukaryota; Fungi; Ascomycota; Sordariomycetes; Diaporthales; Cryphonectriaceae. The record is from Rfam by way of RNAcentral.
GCCCGGCUAGCUCAAUCGGUAGAGCGUGAGACUCUUACAGAGUUUCCGAUUCUGAAAUCUCAAGGUUGUGGGUUCGACCCCCACGUCGGGCU